Molecule: long non-coding RNA, 1270 nt
Filed under: Parus major (Great Tit)
Lineage: Eukaryota; Metazoa; Chordata; Aves; Passeriformes; Paridae
Description: lncRNA (ENSPMJG00000010165.1)
Source: RNAcentral
GCGGGGAUCCCAAAAUUCCUGGGGAUCCCAAAAAUCCCAAGGGAGCCGAAAUUCCAGGGGGAUCCCAAAAUUCCAAUGGGAUCCCAAAAUCCCAACGGGAUCGCAAAAAAUCCCAGGGAAUCCCAAGGGGAUCCCAAAAAUCCCAGGGAAUCCCAAAAAUCCGGUGGGAUCGCAGCUCCUGCUCCAGGCGCUUCUGGGUUUUAUUCCUUGAAUCCCUCUGGGGGAAUCCCACUGGAAUUUUGGGAGAAUCCCACUGGAAUUCCGGGGGGAUCCCGCUGGAAUUCUGGGAGAAUCCUGCCAGAAUUCCGGGUGAAUCCUGCUGGAAUUCCAGGGGAUUCCCAUUGGAAUUUUGGGAGAAUACUGCAGGAAUUCUGGGGGAAUCCCAGGAAAACCUUGUUGGAGUUCCAGGGGAAUCCUGCUGGAAUUCUGGGAGAAUCCCGAUGGAAUUUUGAGGGAAUCCUGCCGGAAUUUUGGGGGAAUCCCCCUGGAAUUGUGGGAAAAUCCCACUGGAAUUUUGGGAAGAUCCCACUGGAAUUUUGGUGGAAUUCCGGAGGAAUCCCGCUGGAAUUCCACGCGCUCCCAGAUUUUCCAGCUCCGCUCCGGGAUUUAUUCCCAAACUUCGGGCUUGGGAACAGAGCUCGGGAUUUUCACACGGGAGAAGGAGCCGGAUCCCAGACGGGAGCGAGGCGGAAUUCCCGACGGGAACCAGAUCUGGAUUCCGGACGGGAACGGCGCGGUCCCGCCUGGGAACACCGGAAUUCCACGUGGGAAUGUCCCGAUCUCACGUGGGAAGGUCGGAAUUCCAGGUGGGAAUGUCCCGAUCCCGUGUGGGAAGGCCGGAAUUCCACGUGGGAAUGUCAGAAUUCCAUGUGGGAAUGUCAGGAUCCGGUGUGGGACCAUCAGGAUCCAGCAGGAACAUCAAAAUUCCGUGUGGGGAUCCAGCGGGAAUGGGCCGGAAUUCCAUGCGGGAAUGUCGGGAUCCCGCGUGGGAAGGUCAGAAUUCCACAUGGGAAUGUCAGGAUCCAGCGGGAAUGGGUCGGAAUUCCGUGUGGGAAUGUCGGGAUCCAGCAUGGAAAGGUCGGGAUCCAAUGGGAAUAUCAAGAUUCUGUGUGGGAACAUCGGAAUUCCGUGUGGGAAUGUCGGGAUCCCGCACGUGAGAAUGUGCCAGAAUUCCAUGUGGGAGGGUCGGGAUCCAAUGGGAAUAUCAAGAUCCCGCAUGGGAACACCGGAAUUCCAGGUGGGAGCGUCAGGAUCUUGUGUGGGAACGAUG